Molecule: ribosomal RNA, 253 nt
Filed under: uncultured bacterium
Lineage: Bacteria
Description: partial 16S ribosomal RNA
Rfam family: Bacterial small subunit ribosomal RNA
Source: RNAcentral
GACGAACCGUGCGAACGUUGUUCGGAAUCACUGGGCUUAAAGGGCGCGUAGGCGGGCCUUCAAGUCCGGGGUGAAAUCCUCCAGCCUAACUGGAGAAGAGCCUCGGAGACUGAGGGCCUCGAGGAGGGUAGGGGCGUGCGGAACUAUGGGUGGAGCGGUGAAAUGCAUUGAUAUCCAUAGGAACUCCGGUGGCGAAGGCGGCACGCUGGACCCUUUCUGACGCUGAGGCGCGAAAGCCAGGGGAGCAAACGGG